This is a long non-coding RNA of Heterocephalus glaber (naked mole-rat), 2910 nucleotides long. Lineage: Eukaryota; Metazoa; Chordata; Mammalia; Rodentia; Bathyergidae. The record is from Ensembl.
CUUCAUCCCUUUUCAGAUGGGAGCCAACAGCUCAGUGCUCACUGAUUUAAAGUUAGACACAUCUCGGGGGAAAAGCAACAGCCUUGUGGGAAUACGGAGGAGGAAGCUGGCCCAAAGAGCCCAGUAACUGCACCGUACUCAGCACAAUGCCCGGCACACCAUUCUAACAGCAGCAGCUAAAACUCAGUCUCUUACAGUCUCUGAAGUUCCCAGUAGUGACAUCUUCACGAAGACUGUUUCAUUUGAUGUCUGAGUUGCCACAUGAGCUUGGCUGAUUCCUCUUACAUAGGAUGGGACAAAGCUCUUUCAUUUAUUAGCGUACUUGGUGAGUGAACCACACUCACAUUUAGAAACAAAUCAGUCUGCCACAUUUGUACUGGAAGGAGCAGCAGAGGUCAUCAAGUUUGAGAGCUUCUUAGAAAUGUGGAGUAAGCAAAUCAAAAGACGAUGGUAGAAACUCAGCAAAAGAACACUGGACUGAAAUCAGAAGAGAAGCCUGAACUUUGUCUCAGUUACUUAUUUGGAAAGUUAUACAAACUCUUGACAUAAUCCCCUCCUUGACUGCUUUGAUCAGCGAGAGUGUAAGCAGGGGUUAGUGAAGGCCGGUGGCCUUCUGACAUGGAGUGAGUAGCAGGGGAGCCGGCGUGAAGGUUGUGCCUGCAGAGUCAGGGUCCAGCCACUGUCCACCCCCUCUCAUCGAUUUCUUGAGAAGUAACAUAAACCUAUGGGCUGUCGCACAGUUUGCACAAAACCAAAAUGUGGGCAAUUUAUACACACACCAGAAUGGCUGAGAUUAAAAAGGUAAAAAUAGGCCAGGUGUUGGCAAGGAUAUAGAGAAACUAAAACUCUUUCUCAGAGCUGGCAGAACUAGAGAUUGAUGUAGUCACCUUGGGAAACUGUCCAUAUUCAUUGAACCGCAACAUGUGACUGUCCUAGUGUGUAUACCCUAGAGAAAUGAAAGCAAAGGUCAGGGGCUAGGAUGUCCAUAGCAAUAUUAUUCUUCGUGGUGGCCCCAACUGAGUACUACCCAAUACUCAUUAUGAGUAGGAUAAAUACAUGGUAGUAUACUUAUACAAUGGCCAGUGAAAAUGAGCUAACUGUAGUUCCACAUGACAAGAUGGGUGAAUCAUGUGGAUAUAGUGUAGAACAAAAGAAGCCAGAUACUAGACUGGAUAGCACCCAUCUCUGAUAUUAGGGAUUAGGACAGGAGUGUAACUCAAAGGAAGCAUGAGAGGACUUCUAGGAUGAAGUUGGUAUCUUGUUUCUUGAUCUGGGUGCUGAUUAUGGGUGUGAUUUGAAACACCAUCAAGCUGUACACAUUUAGGAUUUGUACAUUUUUCUGUGUUGUGCUAAGCUUUGAUUAAAAGCUAGGCUAACAAAGAGAACCAAAUACAACUCAGGGGUGAGCUCCACUGUGAGGGGCAGGGUGCGCUAUCCCGAGGAUGCCCCUGCCCCUGAAAGCCUAGCCAGCUGCUCUCUCCAGCCUUACGCAUUGGGAAGGUGGGCCUUGGGUCCCAUGCUGUGGCUGUGGCGGAAGAGGUCACACCCGGCGGUGGGGGGGGCGGCUUGCUGCUCUUGUGCUCCACCUCCUUAUGCCUGCGAGUCUCCUGCUUUGGAUACACCAGCUCUCUCUGGCUGCUGCUCCUUUGGAAGCCAUCUUCCCUGGACUCGCAUCUGCUGCAAUCAGGCGCCGGUCCACAGCUGCUUCCAUCCCAGCCCCAUGUCCAUCAUGGGGGCCCGGAGCACACGGGACAUGGAGAUGGCAUGUGUCCAAGGUACAGGCACCUCCAUGCGGAGGGAGGGGCAAAGACUCAUAGACCUUUCCCCACCCGGGUUUGCAGGCCUCUGGUAGGGUGCUGGUAGGUGUCACUUGGAUGAACAGCUUGUAAUAAUUGCUAUCAAUGUACAGUGGUACCUCGGUUCACUUAAUGCUUUCAUUUGCAAACAAUUUGGUUCGAAAACAGAGGCGUUAGGCAAAAUUUUGUUUUUGUUUGCAAACUUUGCAUCCGGUGACAAACACAGUUAUGGCCAUCUUACCCACACAAACACAAACGUGGCCAUCUUGUCCGUAUUGUAGAACAAAUUAAAUUUGUGAACGAGGUACCAGUGUGUCUUGUUACAUAUUCGGAAAGAAUAUAAUCCCUACAUUAAACCCACGACUUCACAUUUUUAUUGUUUACAACAAUGUUACAGUUUUCAAAAAUGAGUUGGUUUCAGUUUGAUUUAAGUAUUUGUAGGUGUUCUAUGAGGAUAUAGCAGAAACCAUGGAGGUAGACGUUUGGGAAACUGAGGCCAGAAAUGGAAGGCGCAACGACAUAAUGCUCUUAAUUCCUACACCUAUCCCUUACUUCAGAACCCCGAGGUAUCACAGGAGAGAGGUUUCCUUAAGAGACAGGUCUGCCUAGAAUGGGAGGUUAAGGUAUGACCACCAGCCCUGGUUCCAGAUGAAGGAUCGGGGACCCUGGCAGUGAUGCGAAUGUGGGGCUUCAAGCUAGACUGGCCUGGGGUCCCAACCUGACUCCCCAUUUUCUUGCUGUGUGACAUUAAAUAAGUCACUUAAUCUCUCUGAACUUUAGGUUUCUUACCUAUAAUGAAACCCUUUUACCUGAACCACAGGUGGUUAUGAGCCCAAAAGGAGGUGAUCAAGCCCCAGAGUUAGGCCAUCUCCUUCCCUGGAGAGGGAAGGGGACUCACAAAGGGCCUCAUACAGAGGCAGAGCCAGCCCUGGAACCCAGGGCUCUCUGUUCUCACGUCCAUGUCCUUUGCUCUGAGGAACCAUUCUUCUUCAGCCUGGUUCUGUGAGUCUUUCUUCCAGGGACACAGCGCUGGCUGGGAGAACUUUCCCCCAGCACCAUGGUUUGCCCUGGUCUCUGCUGGGCUGCUCUGGCUUCCCCAGUGACUUCAGGAGGC